RNAcentral lists this ribosomal RNA (492 nucleotides) under uncultured bacterium. RNAcentral describes it as "partial 16S ribosomal RNA". It matches the Rfam family "Bacterial small subunit ribosomal RNA", at positions 29 to 507 of the family's 1533-position model. The record is from RNAcentral.
AGUGAACGCUGGCGGUAGGCCUAACACAUGCAAGUCGAACGGCAGCACAGUAAGAGCUUGCUCUUACGGGUGGCGAGUGGCGGACGGGUGAGGAGUACAUCGGAAUCUACUUUUUCGUGGGGGAUAACGUAGGGAAACUUACGCUAAUACCGCAUACGACCUACGGGUGAAAGCAGGGGAUCUUCGGACCUUGCGCGAUUGAAUGAGCCGAUGUCGGAUUAGCUAGUUGGCGGGGUAAAGGCCCACCAAGGCGACGAUCCGUAGCUGGUCUGAGAGGAUGAACAGCCACACUGGAACUGGAACACGGUCCAGACUCCUACGGGAGGCAGCAGUGGGGAAUAUUGGACAAUGGGCGCAAGCCUGAUCCAGCCAUACCGCGUGGGUGAAGAAGGCCUUCGGGUUGUAAAGCCCUUUUGUUGGGAAAGAAAAGCAGCAGGUUAAUACCCCGCUGUUCUGACGGUACCCAAAGAAUAAGCACCGGCUAACUUCGUG